RNAcentral lists this small RNA (336 nucleotides) under Arabidopsis thaliana (thale cress). RNAcentral describes it as "ATSL191070". The record is from RNAcentral. Lineage: Eukaryota; Viridiplantae; Streptophyta; Magnoliopsida; Brassicales; Brassicaceae.
AUUUUUAUAUAUUGUACAAUCCCUUGAUUUUAUCAUGGAGUACACCGUAAGUCGAUUUUUAAAAUUUAAAAUUUAAAAUUAUAUAUGAUUUUUGUUAAGAUUGUUUCUUUUGUCAUAUAUUUUAAAUUAUAUCAUUGUAUUUUAAUUGUUAGUUAUAGGAUUUCACCCGUUGUAUAACGUGUCGUAUUACUAUAAACUCAAACCCGUCUUACCAUCUAAUACCGUUCAAUGAAAUUAAACAUAUUUAAUGGAUUUCAUCCUAGGUAUACUGUCUAAUAUUACUAUCGACCCAAACCCGUUCUACCAUCUAACCCCGUUCAAUAAAAUUAAAUAUUA